This 1084-nucleotide ribosomal RNA is filed under the name Plantibacter sp. RNAcentral's name for it is "bacterial SSU rRNA". It matches the Rfam family "Bacterial small subunit ribosomal RNA", at positions 384 to 1478 of the family's 1533-position model. Lineage: Bacteria; Bacillati; Actinomycetota; Actinomycetes; Micrococcales; Microbacteriaceae. The record is from RNAcentral.
UGAUGCAGCAACGCCGCGUGAGGGACGACGGCCUUCGGGUUGUAAACCUCUUUUAGCAGGGAAGAAGCGAAAGUGACGGUACCUGCAGAAAAAGCACCGGCUAACUACGUGCCAGCAGCCGCGGUAAUACGUAGGGUGCAAGCGUUGUCCGGAAUUAUUGGGCGUAAAGAGCUCGUAGGCGGUUUGUCGCGUCUGCUGUGAAAUCCCGAGGCUCAACCUCGGGUCUGCAGUGGGUACGGGCAGACUAGAGUGCGGUAGGGGAGAUUGGAAUUCCUGGUGUAGCGGUGGAAUGCGCAGAUAUCAGGAGGAACACCGAUGGCGAAGGCAGAUCUCUGGGCCGCUACUGACGCUGAGGAGCGAAAGGGUGGGGAGCAAACAGGCUUAGAUACCCUGGUAGUCCACCCCGUAAACGUUGGGCGCUAGAUGUGGGGACCAUUCCACGGUUUCCGUGUCGUAGCUAACGCAUUAAGCGCCCCGCCUGGGGAGUACGGCCGCAAGGCUAAAACUCAAAGGAAUUGACGGGGGCCCGCACAAGCGGCGGAGCAUGCGGAUUAAUUCGAUGCAACGCGAAGAACCUUACCAAGGCUUGACAUAUACGAGAACGGGCCAGAAAUGGUCAACUCUUUGGACACUCGUAAACAGGUGGUGCAUGGUUGUCGUCAGCUCGUGUCGUGAGAUGUUGGGUUAAGUCCCGCAACGAGCGCAACCCUCGUUCUAUGUUGCCAGCACGUAAUGGUGGGAACUCAUGGGAUACUGCCGGGGUCAACUCGGAGGAAGGUGGGGACGACGUCAAAUCAUCAUGCCCCUUAUGUCUUGGGCUUCACGCAUGCUACAAUGGCCAGUACAAAGGGCUGCAAUACCGUAAGGUGGAGCGAAUCCCAAAAAGCUGGUCCCAGUUCGGAUUGAGGUCUGCAACUCGACCUCAUGAAGUCGGAGUCGCUAGUAAUCGCAGAUCAGCAACGCUGCGGUGAAUACGUUCCCGGGCCUUGUACACACCGCCCGUCAAGUCAUGAAAGUCGGUAACACCCGAAGCCAGUGGCCUAACCGCAAGGAUGGAGCUGUCUAAGGUGGGAUCGGUAAUUAG